GCAGUGUUAUUCGUGGCGAUUG
This 22-nucleotide non-coding RNA is filed under the name Arabidopsis thaliana (thale cress). Lineage: Eukaryota; Viridiplantae; Streptophyta; Magnoliopsida; Brassicales; Brassicaceae. The record is from RNAcentral.